GCAGUAAGUGCUAACAACCGUUUUAUGCACCUACUUUUGUCCUCUUCUUCCAACCAAUACCGCUCGUUUUAUGUGCUUUGUAGAAACAGAGAGUUCAAAAUUCAAAUAGUGGCUUCAGGAUUUUGGCUAUAAACCAUGAAACACUCUGUCAUGCAAAUUCUCCAUGCCUCCUUUUCUAAAAUUUUCUUUUUGUCUUCAACUUUGCAUUUUAAAAACUUUGGCAGUUAUAAGGACCCACAGGAAUAAGGUACCACUCAGGUUAUGCCUAACAUAAUUCAUAAGAUACCAUCAUCAUCAUCAAUUUUUAAUGUUGAUUUCUUUGUCUUUGAUUUGACUGAGAGAACUCUCCAUUUUAGUUUCUAAUAGUUUUGUACUAUUAAAGGGAGAGAAGUGAGAAAAUGAUAGUUUAAAUUAGUAGAUAUCAAAUUCUUAAGAAAAAAGCAAUUACAGGGUUCUUGAAGGAGAUACUUCAAGGCUAUUUAAAGCUAACCAUUUCCUUAUCCUCUCUAUUGUGGAACUGACAUUUCAAUUCCCUUUUAUCCUGCCCAUAACUACUUCACUCUCUCCCUCCUCUUCCCCUGCCUAAACUGACCCAAUUUGAAGAUAAAUGAAACCAGUGAAAUCCAUCAAAGAAAUCUAAGAACUGUGACCCCACUCUCUUAUUUGGUUUUUAUAAAAAGAAAAAAAAUAAAAUCUUAUCAACAAAUUUUGAAUCUAGAGAUAUAAAAAAUUUCUCGAAAAUGGAUAACUGGGUAUUCAGAAGGGAUAGCUCAAGGAUCUUGGAAACUAAGCUUUCCUUUUUCUGUACUUCGAAACCCACAUCCCACGGCCCCCUUGUCCCUAGCCCCCCCUCUCCCCCUCAGCCUAAAACCAUCAUUCAAUGAGAUAAAUAAAGCUGGUCAAUCUCUGCAAAGGAAACUAAGAUCUAUGCCCUCAAACUCUCGUAUAGUUUUCAUAAGAAAAAAAAUUAGCAUGCCAUGGAUGAUCCUGAGAAAACAUGGAAGAAAUGUGAAUAGUUGUAACCUUAUUUUCAAAUCAAGUUGCUUUAGAAAAGAUGAAUUUCACCCAUGGUCUGCCGAACAGGGCCAAACUGCCCGGUUUGGGCAGUGCCGAGCUAGCCUGGUGCGAAACUGGGUUAGUUCGCUUAUUAUUUUCGGUUUCAACCCUAAACCGAACGGAACAGGUACCGAACUGACCGGAACCAGCCAGAAAGGGUCUGAAUUGGUCGGAACUGGCUGGUUUAGCUCAAACUCGGUGCGAACCAGCUGGUUCGCAUUGAGUCAACCUGGUUUCGAACUGGGCCCCCAAUAGUGACUUGUCUUAUGCUUUAAUUAUAGUUGGGAAGGCCCGAGAGGGCCUUCCCAACUACAAUUGAAAGUGGUGAAGAGAUUUCUACCACUUUUCCUUCCCAACCACUCAAAAAAUUCGCUGAUUCAGCAGUUCAAAAGAAAGAUCCAAGCCUAAUAAGGUGUGCUUUCUCUUCUCUAUCUUACAUUCCCUCAUUUUCUUGGAGGGGCAUGGAAAAAUAGCUCAAAAAUUACAAAACAAGGAAAGAUCAUGCUAGAAUUUUUAAUUUGUGGUUAAUGUUAUUAUAUACUGUAGAUCUAUAGACGAUCUACACGAUGACAUAAAAAAUUUUAAUUUCGAAUUAUAUAUAAUUUCUAAAAAUUAGAAAUAUAUUUUCGAAUUAAAAAAUAAUUUUUUAAAAAAUAAAUAAAAAUUAAAAAAGGUAAAAUCGGAAAGGUAUUUUGGGGCAUACAAUCUACUUUCUAUAAAAGUUUGGUAUCCAUUCAUUUAAGUUUAGAUGCGGUAAUGCACACAGUGGUCUAGGCCUAAAUUUUAAAAAAUGAGAAAUAAGUAAUCUUUGAUGCAUGCCCAAGGACCUAAAAAAUAUAUAUACCAUCCAUUGUUAUGUUCUACACAGAUCUAAGCUGAAAUUAAUUUUUAAAAUAUUAAUAUUAAAAAAAUUAUUUUUAAAUUCAAAAAAUUAAAAAUAUAUAAAUAAUUCUCAAAAUUAUGAAAAAUUACUUGUACAUAUUAAAUAAUUUAAAAAUAAUUUUUGAGCUAGAAAUCAUAUUUUUUCGAAUUUAUAAAAUUUAAAUAUAUUUUUAAAUAUGAAAAUUAUUAAAAAUAUAUAAAUAAAUAAAAAAUAUAACAAUUAGUAUUAUUUUUUAGAUAAAUUAGAUGUAUUUUUUGGGGUAAAAAAAAUUAUCUUCGUCAUAAGAAAAUUUUUCUAUUUUUAAAUAUUUGAUAGACAGAUGUUAGCCAUUAAGAAAAAAAAGAGCCAGAGAGUGAUAUUUGCUGGAAUCAUAGACAAAUGCUCUCGGAUCGGCACUAUUGGAAGUACAACUGGUGCAACAUAGAGUUCAAAGAAGGAGGGGUAACUAGGUUGAAACAGCACUUAGCUGGUGGUUACCUCGAUGUAUCUAUGUGUCGAAAAUGCCGACGGAAGGUUCGACAACAGAUGAAGAAGCACUUUGCUGCUUUUAGAGCAGCGAAGAAGAGGGUUGCGAAGAAGAAGGUCGAGGUGGACCGCCGAGCGACAGAGCUAUCUUUUUUUCACUCUAGGAAGUCAGAGGAGGCGUCUGCUCUAGAUGAUCAGAUACAUGUUGUCAUGUAGGCGUGCUUGGAUGAUCAAUGGGAGCAGGAUGAGGUGCCCAGGCAUAGGGCUCGCUUUGCCCCCUAGUUAUACGAGUUGGGCUCCGGUUCUGCUAGCAGCAGGGCAGAUCCAGAGUUCAAGAGGACCUCCACAGUCAAGGAGGCCGUCAACAGAGGCUGUGGUCGGAUUGUCUCUAUGUUGGAGGCUUUUGGUAGCAAAAAAAAGUCAUCCAAAGCGAUUCUAUCAGGAGCAGCAAUUAAUGAUUUAGAUCCACAUGCCUUUCCCAAUAGAGAUCAAAGCAGCCGAAGGUUGACUCAAUGCUGAAGAAGAAUAAGAAGAAGAAUAUGUGGCUAGCUAUUGGAUCUUGGUUCCACUUCAGCCACAUCCCAGCGAAUGUGGCAGAUAAUAUGUAGUAUAGGUCUAUCAUUUUUGCCAUACAGGUUGCCGGUCCUAGUCUAGAUCCUUCAGGCCGAAAAAAAUCUAUGGUGAGCUUCUUGAUGGUAAUAAGGAGGAGCUAGAUAAAUGGAUUGCCUUCUAUAAGAGCAAGUGGCUCACAUAUAGACUGACGGUGAUGUGUGAUGGUUGAAAUGGUUCUAUCAGGAGGAGCAUUUGUUGGGAGCCCGCCCAUGCCGCAGAAAAAAAAAUUUCAGAUUGCAGCGGAAGGAGCAUGCGCGGGAUCGACGUUCAUCUCAUGAACGUAUUUCAAAAACCGUUCGUAGAUAGAUUAGGAUUAAAAACUUUUUAAACCAUUAGGAAGAUCAGAUCUUCACCUUGUGCGGGUAGAUGAUCACCGCAAACUGAUGUUCGUGGUUUUGGAUGAAGGUUCGCUUGAAGCCGCACACGCGUCCGGCCUCUACGGGUAUCCACACGAAGUAGAGGACCCGAUCAAAGCUUCCUUGUCUCCCCGGGGUGCUAGCUCCCUUGCAGAAACAACUCUUGAUGGCUGAAAUCCUUCCUUUAAAUCAACCCUUGAUUACCUUAGGAAGAAGGAUGAAGGAGGGAUCUAGGAGAAGAACCAAAGGCUACUUGCAGCCUUUCUCCUUUCCCUGUGUUGGAAGAAGGAAGGGAGGAGGGAGGAGGGCCGCCAACAUCUUUCUCUUCUCUUCCUUGCUUGCGGCUGAAACCAAGAGGAGGUAGGGGGCCACGGCUUGGAGAGGGAGAGGGCUUGAAUUGCCCUAGGGUGCCGCCCCAUAUCCCCUUAUAAAGCAUGUGGAGCUCCUACAAAUUAGGAGCUCCUUGAUGUUUUUCCAAGAGGGGCGCCGGCCCCUCUUGUUUGCUGCACCAAGGAAAAACAAGAGGAGGGGCGUACGCCCCUCUCUCUUGAUUAACCUAGUCAUGCCCUCACAUGGUCAAGUCCUAAUCUAAUUAGGCUUUGAUCCAAGUGUGAACCAAUUUGGGUUUUAAUCUAUGCAAGUCCUAAUCCAAUUAGAACUUAAAUGAAUCAUGACUUAAUUGAACUCUUCAAUCCUAAUCCAAUUAGGAGUCAUCUUAAUUCAUUAGAUUAAUAAUUAAUUAGGACUUAAGAAAUUCUAAUCCAAUUAGGACUUGUUCAAUUUUAGUCCUAAUCCAAUUAGGUCUCUAGUUUGAAUCCGAAGUCCUAAUCUAAUUAGGACUUCUAGGAAUCCUACUUUAAGUAGGACUCCAAGUUGAAUUCAAAAUCCUAAUUCAAUUAGGAUUGUAGGAAUCCUACUCUAAGUAGGACUCCCAGUUCUAAUCCAAUUAGGACUCUAGGAAUCCUACUCCAAGUAGGAUUCGUGUUUAAGUCCAAUUAAUUAAAUUCCAUUGUUUCUUCUUCAACUGAUUAUCAAUCGAAUUGAUUUUUCACAAUCACAAUUCAUCCAUCGGAUCGGUCAAUACUUCUAAUGUGUGUGACCCCAUAGGUUCUAUUCUGUCUGGUAGUGAGAUAUACUGCGAUCUCUAUCACAAUAUCAUUGAAAACUCCUUUAAAUGGGUUGGAACAGUUCCAACUCAACUCAUCAGGGUUUAUCGAUCAUCAAGAUAUUCCCUGUGAGUCUCACCAUCCACCAGUGACACCUAGCAGCAUGUAGUGGCUAUCCAGCAGAAUGGAAUGAUGAAACUCUAGGUGCAGUUAUCGUAUGAUACAAUCGUAUGAUACAGUCCUUCUAUCGUGGAUCCCUACAGGAUGGAGGUCAUGGACAACUCGUCAAACCCCAUCGUCUGUCAUAUAUCAAGAUUCAUUUGACUUAAGUUCGAGAGUGGAAAACUCUUUCUCCACUGUUUUUACUGCCCCGGCCGAGGUCUUACGAACUCAGUCUUAUAAAUCACAUAGGAUCUCUCCUUAUCUACCAAGGUCAAUAGAUUCCAUAUAGGUGCAUACCCUACUCCUACAAUGAACCUACUGUAGCCAAUCUACACUGCAUGGACCCAUAUGUGUAGAGACCAUGUAUAUGUGCAGUCAAACUACAAUAACCUCACUGUGAGUAGCCGAAGCACCGCAGGUCAAAGGAUCAGUCAUACUACUGCAACAUCAAGCAAGUCACUGACGAGUGGAUAGACAUCCAAGUGACUUCUUGUUUUGGUCACGCUCAGUACCCUUGUUCUCUAACAAGCACCUACACUAUCACUUUAGUGUUCCCACACUGUGGACUCGAGUCUCGUCCAUCCAUAAGGAAAGUGAUGUGUGCACUGAUCUCAUCGGAUCGAUCACCAUCCUCGUGAUGAUCCAUCGAUCAGGAGCAUUUAGAAAUUAAUCACCAAUGAUACAUGGCUCAAAUUCUCAACUCUUGAGAAUAUGCAUCAUCUUAUUAAUUUCUUGAACAAUUCAUAGACACAUAAACAAUAUGAAUGAAAAAGAUGCCUUUUAUUAUUCAAUAAUAAUAAAGUGAAGUACAAAACUAUGUCCCAGAAUUAAUGUGUCAGCCAUAUUGGCUUCUAGGGCAUAUAUCUAACAGCAUUAUCAACUUUCUGAUAUAUUGUUAUGCGAAUAAUUUAUUACAUAAGUCGGUUGAUGCUUCUGAUCAGGUGCAUGACGCCGUGUAUAUCCUCAAACUGAUGAAAGUAACGAUUGAUUAGGUAGAAGAGAAGAAUAUCGUACAGGUCAUCACUGAUAAUAGGCUCCAAUAUAAUGCCGCCGGAGAGAUCUUGAUGGAGCAACGACCUUAUAUUUUCUGGAUCCUAUGUGUUGCACAUUAUAUCGAUUUCAUGUUAAUAGAUAUUGCGAAGAUUCGUAGGAUGCAGCAAAUAAUGGAGAAAACCCAAACCAUCACCAGGUAUAUUUAUAACCAUACGUGGGUCCUUUCACUGUUGAGGAGGUAUGCACAGAAAGAGAUCUUGAGAUCAAGAGUCACAUGGUUUGCUACCAACUGUGUUGCGCUUGAUAGCCUUCUUGAGAAGAAAGCAAUCCUACGUCAGAUGUUUGUCAGUCCCGAGUGGCAGAAAAGUAGAUAUGCAAGUGCCGGCAUUGAAGGGAGCAGCGUCAAGGAUUUGGUAUUUAGGCAGAUAUUUUGGCAGCGGGCCAUUGCAAUAAUUAAGGUUAUCAGACCAUUGUAUGAAGUGCUUCGGAUCGUGGACAGCGAGAGGUACCUCAGUGGUGAGACUACCAAAUGGGUAGAAACUUGCAUCUAGCAGGUAUACAAGAAUAUUGAAAAUUAGAUUGCUCUUGUACUUGUACAAUUUUACUAAAAUAAUAACAAACUCUAUGUGCAGCAUACUACUUGAACCCUCGGUUCUAGUACAUCGUACCUGAAAUCGAUAUGGAUAAUGGACUUCUGGCUGCUCUGCAUAACGUGAUUUACAAGAUGGAGCCAGAUCUAGAAGUCGCAACCUUAUAUCUCAAAGAGGUAAGUUAAGUGACAUGUAUAAGUUUAACUGAUAUCUUCUAUUAUUAACAUAGUACAAUACGAUUUUUUUUCACAGAACAAAAUAUUUAGAGAGGGUAGCGACAACUUUGGAGUCUCGACAGCUAUCGUAAGUAAGAAAAGUAUGAAUUCAGGUAUGUUACACAUCAGGAGGAUAUUUAUCUGGCGUUAGAUGGUUACUAAUAUUGUAUAUCUUAUAUGCAAUUUUUUUCAAUAUUUUUGCAACUGAAUGGUGGAUUUAUUUUGGGAUAUCUGCGAAAAAUCUUAAGCGGUUAGUUAUCCGGAUCCUCUUUUAGAUAGUCUCUUCGAGUGGUUGUGAGCACAAAUGGUCCACUUUUGCCUUUAUCUAUAGCAGGCAGAGGAACCGUUUGACACUGAAGCGCAAACGAUCUUGUAUAUGUUCACUACAAUCUGAGGUUGAGGCUGAAGUGCAUUCAGAAGGAAGUGGAGCUCAAGUACAUAGAUCCGAUCUAUAGUGCUUUCGUAGAUGAUGAGGAUGAUCCUAUGGUCGGAUGGCUUAUGGACCAGUAGCAGGAGCCGGAGCUUAAUUAGCGAGGAUCGCCUCUACGAUCGGCUAGUUUCGUAGCCAGCGAGGCUAGGGUCGAUCAGGGCAAUAGGCUGGGAGCAAUAUUUCACGCAUCCUUUCAGCUGAUCAGCCACAGCCUAAGGAGAUCCGGUCACCAUAUGACUUCUUGUUAGAGACAUCCUCUUAGAGAUAUUAUCGAAAGUUGCUUAGAUGAGGCGACUAUGUUAUUCGGUCGACUCGGUCAGGAGGGCGACAUACAUCCUGAAAGUUAUUCCUAGGUUCUUCGGUGUUUAGAAUGCUGAAUUUUUUUUUUUUUGAAAACCAUGGCUGAACCUGAUCGGGUUGCCUACGUACCCCUUCACAAGGGGAAUUAAGCCACACGNNNNNNNNNNNNNNNNNNNNNNNNNNNNNNNNNNNNNNNNNNNNNNNNNNNNNNNNNNNNNNNNNNNNNNNNNNNNNNNNNNNNNNNNNNNNNNNNNNNNNNNNNNNNNNNNNNNNNNNNNNNNNNNNNNNNNNNNNNNNNNNNNNNNNNNNNNNNNNNNNNNNNNNNNNNNNNNNNNNNNNNNNNNNNNNNNNNNNNNNNNNNNNNNNNNNNNNNNNNNNNNNNNNNNNNNNNNNNNNNNNNNNNNNNNNNNNNNNNNNNNNNNNNNNNNNNNNNNNNNNNNNNNNNNNNNNNNNNNNNNNNNNNNNNNNNNNNNNNNNNNNNNNNNNNNNNNNNNNNNNNNNNNNNNNNNNNNNNNNNNNNNNNNNNNNNNNNNNNNNNNNNNNNNNNNNNNNNNNNNNNNNNNNNNNNNNNNNNNNNNNNNNNNNNNNNNNNNNNNNNNNNNNNNNNNNNNNNNNNNNNNNNNNNNNNNNNNNNNNNNNNNNNNNNNNNNNNNNNNNNNNNNNNNNNNNNNNNNNNNNNNNNNNNNNNNNNNNNNNNNNNNNNNNNNNNNNNNNNNNNNNNNNNNNNNNNNNNNNNNNNNNNNNNNNNNNNNNNNNNNNNNNNNNNNNNNNNNNNNNNNNNNNNNNNNNNNNNNNNNNNNNNNNNNNNNNNNNNNNNNNNNNNNNNNNNNNNNNNNNNNNNNNNNNNNNNNNNNNNNNNNNNNNNNNNNNNNNNNNNNNNNNNNNNNNNNNNNNNNNNNNNNNNNNNNNNNNNNNNNNNNNNNNNNNNNNNNNNNNNNNNNNNNNNNNNNNNNNNNNNNNNNNNNNNNNNNNNNNNNNNNNNNNNNNNNNNNNNNNNNNNNNNNNNNNNNNNNNNNNNNNNNNNNNNNNNNNNNNNNNNNNNNNNNNNNNNNNNNNNNNNNNNNNNNNNNNNNNNNNNNNNNNNNNNNNNNNNNNNNNNNNNNNNNNNNNNNNNNNNNNNNNNNNNNNNNNNNNNNNNNNNNNNNNNNNNNNNNCAAGAGGGAACGAAUUUAAAUCCAUGCGGCAAGGUAAAACACUUCAUAAUUUCGAAAUCACCUCUUGAAAUUCGAAUUUAAUCCAUUCAAAAACUCAGACGCCACCUUGGCUGAUGGUUUGAGUGAUUAAAAUCAUUUAACACAUUGCUUAAUGUUUGAAUUUAAAUUCAAAUAACAAACAAUGUCGCUAUGUGUCAAGCAAUGGGUCCAUGUGCCAUGCAAUAAUUUUGGUUUAUUUAAAAUUCAUGAAAUCCAAUUCCAUGUCACCAAUAAUUGCCACAUCAUCUGAGCCUAAUCCUCUUAGGUUGCACCUAACCAAAUUUGGUCAAACCCGAAUUAAAACAAAGCAAUUUGGUUGAACCCAAUCUAAUCAGGUCAGACCCUGAUUGAGCUCAAAUUGAAUCCAAUUCAAUUUUUGGCUCAUCCAAACUCAAUCAAAUUGAAUUAAUUACUUUGUAUUGGACCUAAUCCAAUUAGGUCAAUCCCCAAUUAAGAAUAAAUUAAUUUAAAAUUAAUUUGAUCAGCUUAAGUCCUUUUUGGUUCUGACUUAAUCCAAUCAGGUCAAAACCCUGAUUGAGCCUAAACUUGAAUCCAAUUCAAUUUGGCUCAUCCUUAGCAUAAUUACUCAAUCAAAUUGAGUUUAUUAGUAAUUUAAUUACUAAUUAAUCCUUCAAUAAUUACUUUAAUUAUUUUGUAAGAUAAUUUGCCAAUCAAAUUGACCAAAUUACCCCUGAAUGAUUCUUAAUCAUUCAUCAGCUUUCUUGAUCAAUCAGGAAUCUUCUAUGCGUGUGACCUCAUAGGUUCGAACCUAAGCCGGUAGUAUAGGAACAAUUUUCUGCACUAAUCGAUGUGACCAUCUAGCAAUGGUACCCGACAUCCGGAUAGGCCGAAUAUAUGCGAAGCAAAUAUUCUGGAACCCUGAACUAUGGUUACUGUAUAAUUCAAUCCCUUUGACUCCUAAUGUCAGGAUGACUUAGAGCUCACUGUCAACCCUAUAAUUAGUACAUCCAUUAUGUGAUUAACUUUAGAUAUCCCGUGACACCUCACUGGGAUUACCCUGGCCAAGGUUUUGCUAAAUUAAUCACAAGACAUUAUCUUCUGNNNNNNNNNNNNNNNNNNNNUCUUCUGUUUUCAGGAGGGGUCAAUUCCAUCUUGACUCACAACUGACUACGCAAGUACUUGAUUGCACCCAGUGACCUUCCGUCACUGAAUUAGAAAUUCAGGUAGUCCGGUACCAAAGUACAGUGAGUUGCUUGCUAGUCACAGGUUGCGGUCUCAGGUCAGAGGGCCAAACUUAUACCCAUAUCCACUCGGAACAUCUCUCGACAGUAGAGCAUUCCGGAAUUGGUCACGUUCAGUGAAAUGUACUCCUACACUUCACCUGUGUGGCAUACCAGUGUCUCCACACUCCUUGGUUAAGAGGACAACCAACGUAUAUAUCACACAACGACCUAAUCUCAAUAAUGCUGUCGUCCUAGUAACAACAUAUCAUUUGGUCGCGAACAAGUUUAAGGACUCAAAGAUAAAUCCUCCUUUAUCAUAACAUAAGUCCUAAGGACUUCAUCAUAUAAGAGUUCAUUUGAAGAUGAAAUGAUGAAUAAUGCCAAAUAACACUUUAUUAAUUUGUCAAUUCAUUUACAAAAUUCAAUCAUUAAUAUGCUGACGAUUGACAUUUAGGAUACAAAUCCCAACACAUCCUCCUAGGAUAGCCAGGCAAAGAGGGGCACGAAAGAUAAGAAGGCAGCUGCCCAACACACUAAAAAGAAAAUAAAAGGCACAUGCAACCCCAAUAGAGAGUGUCGAGGAGUCAGUUUACUUAGAUUCAGAGAUCAGAAGUAGCAAUUCUGGUAGUCAUGGAUCUGUUGGCUAGAAUGAGAGUGGAGGACAUGAGAUCAUUGUUUAUUAGAUACAAUCAUAGGGUAGUCUUCGAUUCACCGGUGAGUCCUAGUUUACGCGUGUUACAUAGGAUAGGGAUCAUGGUGCAGAAUCUGGUAGAGCCUGCGAGGAUACAAUUGCAUGUAAGAGAUGGGCUUCUUGAGGUUAUUCAGGAGGACACAAUGCAGUUGCAGAUGACCUCGCACGUGGAGUAGGAUCCAUAAGCGUAUCAAAUUUUGAGUCGUAUAUUGGAUCCUAUUUUCCGCAGCCACUGGCAGCCUAUGACUUAUGCGGAUAUGAACAUAGUGUGUCUGAGGUAUCUUCUAAUGGCUACUAUUCUACGUAGUUUGGAGCAUCUUACAGGUCGAAUUUUGCUGCUAGCAUAUUCGGAUAGGCUCCUCUACAGCUGUAUUAUUAGCCAGAGGAUACCUCUAAGAGGUAGAGUUUUAGCGAGAGAUCCGAGAGUGCUUAUAACCCGACACAUGUUCCUUAUGGGAUGAGCGUACAAGAUUACAAUGCCGCUUGGUUAGCGGGGUGGGUUGAUAUGCCUCCUAACUCUGCUGAUGAUCCGGAUAUCUACAAGAGACAUUACCACUCGAUCCGAUUUUAGAUAUCGGCAUGUAUGUUGUACUUUAAAUGUAUGUAAUUAAUUGUAUUAUUUUUUUAAUUUUUACGUCGCUAUUUGAUUUGAGGAUAUUUUAUAUUUUUCAUUGUAGAAUGCAACAUCUCACUAAUUAUUUUAUGAUUUGUAUCAUUUUAAAACAAAAAGAUGCAUCAUUUAGGUUAAAUCGGAAUUAUAGAAACAUCAAAAAAAAUCUAAAAAUAUUAAGAAAACAUCAAAAAAACAUCAAAUUAGACUAAAAUCAUUGAAAAAGUUCAAAAAGAGUGAUUACCAAUUAAAUAUUCUUGAAAACUUAAAAAAAAUUUGGGUGUGCAGGUACGGAACCGGCAUGCCCAACCCGUAUCGAGUCGGUACGAUACCGAACCGGUACCGAUCUGUACCGGGCGUCGACCGGUAUGGGUCCCGGUACUGGUUCGGCGGACCUUGCUUUAACCCAUUACUCAUACAAGAGAAUACAUGUUGAUCCAAUCGAGGAAUUAAAAUCUGAUUUAGUCGAAGAAGAAGAAGAAAUUGCACGUGCUUAAUAUAAAAUUCUUUUGUGGUAGCAACAAAGCAUAUUGGUUGUCAUCUAUUUCUAUGUGUUUAUUGUUUUUCAUGUUCUUUUCUAAAUCUUUCCUUCGUUAAUAUAUACGUAUUCUAUGUUUUAAAUGCUUCAAUCUAGCAUGAUUCAAAUGGACAUGCAAUGGCUGAGGUAUAAAAUUUGGAUUAGAAAUCAAACUUAUAACUCAAUUUGUGACAUAUUGAUAGUUGAUGAUGCUCUAAGACCAAACAUGGAAAUCUGAUGGGAUAAUUUUGUGAUUUUACAACUCGUGAUUAUGAUCUAGCCUUGUGCAUACUUAACCUAAUAAUCUAGAGUCCUGAAGCAGCAUGAAGUAGAUCAAGUUUUGAUUUGAGGUUGUGCGUGUGCGCACAUAUGUGUGUGUGUGAGAGAGAUGAGAAAUUGGUCUAUUUAUAGUGAGUUACGAGAGGAUGCCAUCUUUCUUAUUCUUAAAAAAACAUAGGCAAAAGGGGGUAAUAGAUCUUUAAAUUUCUUAGUUGGGUUAUCCUAGUUUGUUGAUGGGAUCUUAAUUUUAUAUUUUUGUAACUAGAUGAGAGUACGGGUCAGCGGUCUUAAAUUUCUUUGUGGUUUUCCCUCAUUAUAUAUCUUAAUAAAUAAUGUGCUUAUGCAGGGAAGGAAAGAGAGAGAAAGUUAGGGUGCAAAUGGGUCAGGUCCGACCGGGUCAUGGGUGACCCCGACCCAACUCAGUUUUUUGUUCGGGUCCUAAUUUUGGACCCAGACCUAACCUAAUAGAAGAUCGGGCCAGUCGGUUCGGGUCCACGGCUACAAUUUUUGAUCCAACGGGUCAUUCGGGUUGAGUCUAGUUGGGUCCAUGUAUAACCCAGACCCAACUCGAAAAAUUCAGGUUUGGGUUGGGUUCGGGUCUUGACGAAAAAUUCCAUAUUAUUUGUAACAAUAACAACUAUUAAUUCCAAAAUCAAAGGCUAGCACUUUUAUUGUCCCUGUCCUCCGUAAACUCCAGCCAUUUUCUUUCAUCUUCCGCUCCUAUCAUAAUGGAUCGAGCAACGUUUGAGAUCACCAACCUCGAAAAAGAGUUCUUUGAUGUCCUCGUUGGAGACACCAUCAUCCAAGUUGGAGAAGUAGAGCUUGGUACGGGGUGCUUCCUGGGCCGGUUGGAGAAUCGACGGACAGGGCUGUUCGGCCCUCUUCCUCGCCUUUGGUUGCUACCGCUGCCGGUGGCCGACUUAUUGUUUUUCUUGAUGAGUUCAUUGAGGGCCAUAUCCAAAACGUUUGUCAUCAUUGUCAAUGGGCUUUGGAAGAGCCAAUUGCGGUUUUAGGAUACAGGUGGUUUUGGGGGAUGGCGGGGUAGGAGAGACGAGGUAGGGUUUCCGAAGUGUGGGUAUGAGGGGCAAAAGAGGGUCCACUUGCAAGAGGAAGGGAAAUGUUGAAAUUCUUGUGUGAGGAGAGGUAGGAAAGGGAGCGGUAACUGAAGUAGUUAAACACUUUCGUGUGAAGGGGAAGCAUAGGGACCGGCAAUUAAAGUAGUAAUUUAAUUGCUAGCGGAGUGCACGAGUCUCAGCAGCCAAAACACCAUUGUAUGUUUGUUUGUUUGGAAAUCUCUUCUUGUUUCGAUCAACCCAUCCAUGGCUUCCCUUUUCCUACUCUUCCUCCUCGUCCCCUUCGCCACCCUCCUCUUCCUGGCCGCCAUCGUCCGCCCACGACGCGUCGGGAUCCCCAUCACAAGGGCCGCCACAUCCUCAUCACUAGCGAGUCUAGUGGCAUUGGCCUCACCCUCGCUCGCCGUGCCACCGCCAAGGGCGCCCUGAUGGGGGCUCACGGUCCAAAGCCCCUCACCAAGCCCCUUUCCUUGCGCUCCUUACACGCCUUCAAAAACGAUAAUGAUGGACUGAUUGUAGACAACGCCGGUGGAAUAACUCAAGAAAAAGAUCAACAAUGAAAGCAAACUUGAUUUAUAUUCCACUAAAUUGAAGAACGAAGAACAAGAACAAAGAAAGCAAAAGAAAUCUAGCAAGAGAUUUAAGAGAUCUCUUCCUAGCCCAAUCUAGUGGAGAUUGAUGAAUCUACCACUAGCCCAAGUCCUAGAACACAAGAUCUAAGGACCGAAAUCGGCACAAACGCCGCCCAAGCCUUACGGCCGACAAAAUAACAUAACUCUGGAAUAACUCUGGAUGCCUCUCAAUGGCCCUCUACAUCUCUAUUUAUAGGCUAAGCCCUAGACAAAACUAACACCCCUUAGGUAAACAUGGCAAAUUGUCUUUCCAUAGAUCCAAGGCUUUUCCACUAUCGAUUGGCAUGAGAUUAGUGGCUGAAAAUCACCCAAGAAGGGCCCUCCCACGGCUGGACAUUGGCUUGAUUUUUGGCCGUUGGAUGGAAGAGGUUGGAGGGUUGGAUCUGCAUGGGCGCACGGGCGGGCGCGCGGGCGGUCGGCCUGCUGGGCCUGCGGGUGGGCGCGUGCGGGCUUGUGCGCGCGGGCACUGUAGUAGGCAAGGUUUGGCCGGCCGAACCUCGCCACACUGUAGCAGGCUGGCACGCGGCUGGCUGGCGGGUUGGCUGUGCGCGGACACUGUAGCUGGCGAGGUUCUUGCCCAAGAACCUCGCCGCACUGUAGCAGGUGAGGUUGGCCGCGGCAGGACUUGGCUGCGGCAUGGUUUUGGCGGGGCUACGCACGCAGCGGGCUUGGCCAAGGUUGGGCAUGCUUGGCUGAGGCUUGGGCACGCAUGGGCGCAUGUUUGGCUCGGCCGAGGUUGGGCGUGCUCGGCCGAAUGAAGAGGCUUGUUCAAGGCUUUCCAAGCAAAGUAGUUGGCCUUGGCUUGACCCUCCGUUGGCCUCCUUGUGGCCCGAUGGCCCUCCUUGGUUGGCAUGGCUACUUUGGCCUUCGGUUGGUGCAUGGUUGUGGCUCUUCUUGCGGCGUGGCUUGCGGGGGUCCUCAACAUUUCCCCUCUUUUGAAGAACAUCCUUGCCCUCAAGGAUGAAGUUGGGGUACCUCUGAGUGACCUCGUCAUAGUCCUCCCAUGUAGCAUCUUCCUUGGGCAAGCCGCCCCACUGAAUCAAGACUUGCCAAAUUUUGCGUCGUUCUCGGCCUCGUCGCCAUAUGCGGUACUUGAGGGCUUCAACUGGUUGAAGAAGUAGCCAGCCCUCCUCAUCAAAUGUGGGUUAGUCUGGUGCUAUUAACGCUGGGUCACCAACCUUCUCUUUGAGCCAAGAUACAUGGAAGACUGGAUGAAGCUGAGAUGCGGCCGGUAACUCCAGUCAGUAGGCGACCUCUCCGAUGCGUUCUAUGAUUCUGAAUGGCCCAUAAAAUUUUUGAGAUAACUUGUGGUUGAACUUAUUUUUCAAUGAUUUUUGUUGGUAGGGCUUCAGCUUUAGGUAGACAAACUGGCCAGGGGUGAAGACAACGUCUCGGCGGCCUUGGUCGUAGUAUCUUUUCAUCCUUUCUUGUGCCUUCCAAAGCUCCCUUUUUACAUUUGCUAGGACUUCGUCCCUUGCCAACAAUUCUUGUUCAACUUCCUCACUUCGGGCCGUGCCCCUCUCAUAUGUAGUCAAUAGUGGAGGGGGUCUCCCAUACACAAGUUCAAAAGGACUCAAUUUAAUGGAUAAAUGGUACUCAUGAAGACUCGAUCUCGGUCGGUGACGAUGCUCCUUGUUACUCCAUGGAGUCGAACAAUGGUCUCCACGAAUGCAUGUGCAACUGACUUGGCUGUGUAAGGAUGUUUAAGAGGUAUGAAGAGCGCAUACUUACUCAGCCGAUCAACCACCACUAGGAUCACCUCAUAGCCCUUGCUUGUCGGUAGACCCUCGAUGAAGUCCAUGGUCAGAUCCUCCCAUAUCAUGUUCAGGAAGGGAAGAGGUUGCAGCAGUCCGGUUGGUGCCCGUGGAUCAUAUUUGGUCUUCUGACAUAUCUCGCACUCAGCUACCAAGGAUUUGACGUUGCGCUUCAACCCUUCCCAAUAGAAGAAGUGCUUCACAUGAAGGUAGGUGCGAAGCCAACCUGAAUGGCCCUUCCUUGCUGUUGUGGAUGUGGUCUAAGAUGUUCCUCCUCAAGUCGGGGACGUUGGGGACAUAGACAUUUCUCUUGUAAAAAAUCAGACCUUCGCGUACCUUAAAUUCUGCAACACCCAUAGCCGCUGCAUCUAGUUUUUCUUGGAUUUCUUGUGCUCGGGCGUCAAGCUUCGUUGCCUCGCGAACUUGGUCCCAAAUCCUCCAAUCAACGCCGCUGAUUGCUGCAAAAUUCUGCAGCUCGUUCAUGUCUUCAGCCACCCACAAAAUCUGGUCGUUCUCCCUUUGCGACAAUGCGUCAGCCACUUUGUUUUCUUUGCCGGGUUGAUAGAUGAUGUCGUACUCGAAACCCAGCAACUUUACAAGAAAUUUUUGCUGUUCGGGAGUCACUAUCUUUUGUUGAAGUAGAUGGCGAAGCGCUUGCUAGUCCAUGAUGAUGGUGAAGCAUCGGCCGAGAAGGUAUGGCCUCCAAAUCUUCACCGCAUGUACAACCGCCAUCAAUUCUCUUGUGUAGGUGCUCCAAGCUUUCUUCCUUGGCCCUAAUGCUUUGGAAAUGAAGGCCAAAGGUCGUCGUUCCUGCACCAAAACAGCACCUAUACUUUCGCCACUCGCGUCGGUGUAGACCUCGAACGGUUUGGAAAAAUCAGGCAAGGCAAGUACCGGUGUUUGUGUCAUAGCUUCCUUGAGGUCUUCAAAUGCCUUGCGCGCUUGAAUGGUCCACAUGAAACCUCCUUUUUUCAGCAUGGUGGUUAGCGGCUUUGCAAUCAGCCUAUAAUCUUUUACGAAUCAUCGGUAGUAGCCGGUUAGCCCCAAAAAUUCUCUUAGGGCCGUGAUAUCCUUCGGCCAUGGCCAAUCGAGCAUGGUCUGAAUUUUUGGCCACUCGCGUCGAAAUCGGUCACCACCCGACCUAGACUAUGAAACCAUGCAUUUCCCAAUACAAUGUCUAAGCCGACUAAUUGAAGUACAUGUAGGUCGGCUUUAACUCUCACCCCUUGUACAUUCAUCUUUACAUUAUUAACAAUUUCAGCACAUAGUAAUUUUUCACCACUAGCAAUUUUGACUUCAAACGGUGAAACCGAUGUACUUUUGAGUCCAACCUUUCGUACGAUCACUGAGUUGAUGAAAUUGUGAGAAGAGCCACUGUCCACUAACAAGGAGACCUCAUGCUUGCCGAUCCAAGCCAUGAGCCUUAUUGUAGAUGGUUUUGAUGCGCCGCAAAGUGCAUUGAGUGACAAUUCAGCAUGCUGAUUUUCUGCACAUGGUUUGGGCUCUUUGGGGUGAUCUUCCUCCUCGCUGCUGCUAUCUGAAUUUUCAGAUGCAGUGGGCUCUUCGUCGCUGCUUGCAUCAAGAACGUAGACUUGGCCGGUCUUGCAAUGAUGCUUCCGGUUCCACUUUUCACCACACUUAAAAUAUAGUUCCUUUUUUAUGUAAUCUUGCAGCUCAUCACGUGACAACUUCUUUACCUCCUUUUGCUGAUUUUUGGAACUUGUUGAAGUCAUCUCUUUGGAUCUGAAAUUUACCUUGGAUGGUUGUGGUUUGGUGAACUUGCUGAUUGCACCAUCCUUGGUUGUACGUCGUUUCGGGUUGUAGCUUUGGUCUAGAAUCUCUGCCAUGCGCAUCGCUUCUUGUAGCCGCGUUGGUUGUUUGAGUUUGAUCUCCUUGGCUAACCACGGUUUGAGGCCGUCGAUGAAGGUACCAAGCAAGGCUUCGUCGGACCAUCCGCUGACCAUAGUUUGCAAUCGCCGGAACUCAUUGAUGUAGGUCUGGACUUUGCCCUCUUGUUUGAGUUUUGCAAGUUGACCAUGGUGAUUGACAACGGAGGAAGGUCCCCAUUGCUUCAUAAAUUCAUCUAUAAAGGCAGUCCAACCCAAUCUUUUUCUUUCUUUCUCAUACAAGGCCCGGAUCCACCUCUACCGUCGGCUAGCCUUACCUUCUAAGUGGAAACUAGCUAGGGUCACCCGAUCAGCCCAUGGGAUAUCAUAAACGUCAAAGUACCGAUNNNNNNNNNNNNNNNNNNNNNNNNNNNNNNNNNNNNNNNNNNNNNNNNNNNNNNNNNNNNNNNNNNNNNNNNNNNNNNNNNNNNNNNNNNNNNNNNNNNNNNNNNNNNNNNNNNNNNNNNNNNNNNNNNNNNNNNNNNNNNNNNNNNNNNNNNNNNNNNNNNAGCCGGGAGGCCUUUGAGCAUGGAAGGGACGUUUUUCGGGUUCACUAUCGGCCUCAUCAUGAUUGUUAUGGCCAUUACUAACCCACUCAUCGUCAAGCCACCUCUCAAACACUAAGCCUUCGGCUUCUAUCCUUCCUCCCAUUCGGCCAUGAUGCCUAAUGCCAUGAUCUACAUGAUGUGUACCCUGAACACUAAUGGCAUCGCUCUCAUACCUUGCCCGGCCCUGCCGUGCGGCAUGCGACCUAGGCACUUCUUCUUGCACCCUCUUAUGUUCCCUCUCUAGCAUCCUCCUUUCCAACCUCUCAAUGUUGGCAUUGUUCUCCCUCUUUAUUUCAGCUAUAUUUGCAGCUAAAAUAUUGGACAAAGUUUCCAAUGCCCGGUUAAGGUUGGCCAAACUAACUUCAAGGGCUUCUAACCUCUUAUCUUGGUUGCUAUUUUGGGGGGACUCCAUCUCCUUUUAACCCUCUGUUUUAGGACUCUAAAAACCCUGAGACAACAGCCCCUCUAACUCCCAAAUAUCAGAACUCAAUCAAGCCCCAAAAUCUUGCUGCACAAAAAAUUUCUGGACUGCAGAAAAUUUCUGCGGCAGUCCACCGACCUCAGCAGCAAAUAUUUCCCUCAAAACAGAACCAAAUCACCACCCAAAGAUGCCUAUUACAGCAACUAAUAACUUCUGAAACUCUCCACGAAAAAUCAAAAUCAAAGCUUCAGAAAACCCUGAUCUUAACAACCCAAACACAGACCUUGCUGCAGAAUUUUUCUGCAACAUAGAAACUUCUCCAAAUCAGUCCCCAAGCCUCCUGCGUUGUCACCCAAAGGAUGAACCAACCCACCUGAUUUGUACACCACUCAAUCAACCUCCGACAGGGGUUUUACAAUAAUAAAAAUAGAAACUAAAAAUCCCCCAAUCGAAUACAAAUUCAAGCCCAAUAUAGGAUGCAGAAUUUUUAUGAAUUUCACCAAUAACUAUGAUCUGAUUUUUAACUUUAGAUCUAAAAGAAUAUGCAAGGCAAAUUCAGAUCUGGAAGAUUGGUAUUCAAGCGUUACCUCCUUGAAGGAUUCUCUCAAUGAAAGUACCAAUUUGAUGGGGGCUCAUGGUUCAAAGCCUCUCACCAAGCCCCUUUCCUUGCGCUCCUUACGUGCGCCUUCAAAAACGAUGAUAAUGGACCGAUUGUAGGCAACGCCGGUGGAAUAACUCAAGAAAGAUCAACAAGGAAAGCAAACUUGAUUUAUAUUCCACUAAAUUGAAGAACGAAGAACAAGAACAAAGAAAGCAAAAGAAAUCUAGCAAGAGAUUGAAGAGAUCUCUUUCUAGCCCAAUCUAGUGGAGAUUGAUGAAUCCACCACUAGCCCAAGUCCUAGAACACAAGAUCUAAGGACGGAAAUCGGCACAAGUGCCGCCCAAGCCUUACGGCCGACAAAAUAACAUAACUCUGGAAUAACUCUGGAUGCCUCUCAAUGGCCCUCUACAUCCCUAUUUAUAGGCUAAGCCCUAGACAAAACUAAGUAACACCCUUUAGGUAAACAUGGCAAAUUGUCUUUCAAUGGAUCCAAGGCUUUUCCACCGUCGAUUGGCAUAAGAUUAGUGGCUGAAAAUCACUCAAGAAGGGCCCUCCCACGGCUGGUCAUUGGCUUGAUUUUUGGCCGUUGGAUGGAAGAGGUUGGAGGGCUGGAUCUGCAUGGGUCGCGCGGAUUGGGUGCAAGGGACGCGGCAGGCCGGUGCGGGCGCGGUUGAUCGGGUCGCGCAUCCCGGCUGGACGUUUCCCAGUUCGGGUGGAACUGGGACUGGGCGUGCGGCAGGCCGGUGCGGGCGCGGGCGUGCGGGCGGGCGCGCGCGGGCACUUUAGCAGGCGAGGUUUGGCUGGCCGAACCUCGGCUGAACCUCGCCGCACUUUAGCAGGCUGGCGCGCGGCUGGCUGUGCGCAGACACUGUAGAUGGCGAGGUUCUUGCCUAAGAACCUCGCCGCACUGUAACAGGUGAGGUUGGCUGUGGCAUGGCUUUGGCGGGGCUGCGCGUGCGGCGGGCUCGGCCAAGGUUGGGCAUGCUUGGCCGAGGCUUGGGCACGCAUGGGCGCGUGUCUGGCUCGGCCGAGGUUGGGCGUGCUCGGCCGAUUGAAGGGGCUUGGCCAAGGCUUUCCAAGCAAAGUAGUUGGCCUUGGCUUAACCCUCCGUUGGCCUCCUUGUGGCCCGAUGGCCCUCCUUGGUUGGCAUGGCUACUUUGGCCUUCGGUUGGCACAUAGUUGUGGCUUUUCUUGCGGCGUGGCUUGCGGGGGUCCUUAACACGCCCACGUCUCCAUCCUUGCGCGCAACCCCCCGCCUCCAGGAGGCCUGCGACGCCAUCCGACUCGCCACCGACAUCGACGCCGUCACCCUUGCCACCGACGUGCGGGACCUGCAGUCGUAGCUCGGGCCCUCGAGGAGGCCGGCCUCGUCGAUGUUCUUAUCUGCAACCAAGGCAUGUUCGUGCCUCCAGAGUUGGAGGCCCAGUUGCUGGAGGAGGUUCACUUCGUGGUGGACGUUAACCUCAUUGCUCUUUCCACCUCAUCAAAGCCGCCCUCCCUGCCACGAGGGCCAGAGCCAGGGAGACCGGCCUCCCCACCUCCAUCGCCCUAUUGUCCUCCUAGGCCGGCCGGUUCCCAUCUACAAGCUCUCUCUCCCCUACCCUCCCUCUCUCUCCCACACCUUCUUCGCCCAUCCGGCUGUCCCUCCCCCUCGCCUGGGUUGCCUUCAUGGUAUUGGAAAUCCUCGCGAGUUGCGAGUCAUGGGCCUUGCAACCUCGCUAUUUAUUUUGUAAACGCCCGCUCGGCUUUGGGCCUUUGGCCUCUAACUCUCUGAGGCCUGAGCUUAAUUUCAAUUUUCAUAGGGAUACAGAGCUUGGGUCGUGCCUUAAUAGAACUUGUUUGCACCCCGUAGGCACAAAUAAUUUUAUAAAUUUGGGUUGGGUCGGAUCUGAAUUCAUUAAACCCAGACCCGAUCCAAAAAAUGGAACAGGUCCAAUUUUAAGGCCCGACUCGGCCCCAUGGGUCCUCCAAAACGGGUCAGGCCUGGACGGGUUACAGGUCAACCCGACCCAUUUGCAGCCUUAGUUAGGUACAAAUUGAAUGGGAUUAUGGGGUGUAGAUUUUGAAGUAGAGAGGACAGUGAAAUGGUCAUAUUUCAAGAGUCUUUAGAACCUUGUAAUCUUUUAUUUUUUUAGAAUUUGAUAAUUAUAAUAUUUAAACUACUAUGUUCUCUCUCCUCUCCUCUUAGCAUUAUGGGGAGAUUGUGACAUCAUUUGGUUUAGAUAUUCCCUCGAUACUAAAUCUACAAUUGGCUAUGUUUUCCUUUUAAAAGAUGGUGCAAUUUCUUGAAUUUUUGUUAGGCAAGCUUAAUUUUCAGGUGCUAUAUGGAGGAUGAAAUAAUAGCAUUAGAUUGUAUAGCUGUAUUUCGUUGCAGACUAAAUUUUGUAGGGACAAGGGAAACUUAACUGGGUACUAGCGGACGGAUAGGACUUAUUUGAGAUUUUUGGCAUUUGGUGAGAUAGAUAAGUGCAGGUAAUAAAGUGCAUAAAAUGUGCAUGAGAUUUCACAAUGAUUUGAAUGUUACCACAAGGAUGAAAUUGCCCUUCCACUUUUACUAUUUUUAGAUAGGGGAUAGAUACGAAAAAGUAAUUUGAAGGGAACAACUUUUCUCUUUUCUAUGGUAUAAGUUUAUUCCACCAAAAUGAUGGAAUGUAAUUUUGUUUUUGAUUGCCCGCUUAUCCCUCCUAUGUUAUAAGUCUAUUCCCUCCUCCCUAUUUUUGAGGCUUUGGUAGGAUAUCUCCCCACUUUGGGGGGAUGCUGGUUAGAGGGUGGAUAAUACAAGGUUAUCUAGCUAACUAGCCAAACAAAAAAGGUUUGAAUAAUCUUAUUCGGCCAAUGAGCCAAAAAGUUAGAUAACUAGGUUAAUAUUUUUUUGCGGGAUAGUAAAAUAACUUAACCAACCUUUUAGCCUCUCCAGCCGCUAUUUUUCUAUUCCAAAUUUACCCUGGAUCAGGGUUCGCCGGACCGACUGUACCGGCGUACCAGUGAGCACCGGCACCGGUACGGUACCGGCUUGGGACCGGUACCGAACCGGAGCCGCGCGUGCGGCGGCGAGCGCGCGGACUUCAAAAAAAAAGCAAAAAAAAAAAUGCGUCCGCGCGCGGACGCGUCAAAUGCCACAGAGUGGCAUUUAGCAUUUAAUGCCCCCACGCGGGCUGGCAACCCGCGUGGGCACGGUGCCCCAUGCGGGGAACCGCGCUCGGGCGCGAUUCCCUGCUGGGGAAAUGCGCGCGGGCGUGGUUCCUGCGUGUAGAAUCGCGCGCGGGCGCGCGUUCUCCGCUCGUGCGUCCGCGCGCGUUUCCCAAAAAAAAAAUGCGUCCGUGGACGCGUCAAAUGCCACUCUGUGGCAUUUAAUGCCCCCACGUGGGCUGGCAGCCCGCGUGGGUACGGUGCCCCGCGCGGGGAACCGCGCUCGGGCGCGCUUCCUACACGGGGAAACUGCGCGUCCGCGCGGACGCGUUAAAUGCCACAGAGUGGCUUUUAAUGCCACUCUGUGGCAUUAAGAGGCCCACGCGGGCAGCGGGGAAAGACCGGCCGGUACCGGCUUGUACCGGCGUCGNNNNNNNNNNNNNNNNNNNNNNNNNNNNNNNNNNNNNNNNNNNNNNNNNNNNNNNNNNNNNNNNNNNNNNNNNNNNNNNUCGCACCGGUACCGGCUUGUACCGGCCCGGUUCGCACCGGUACCGGCUUGUACCGGCGCGAACCGGCCCGGUUCGCACCGGUCCAAGCACGGAACCAAUUGAUUCCGACCCAGUUUGGAUCGGAACCGUUUUUAUAUGCUGUACCGUACCGGUGCCCGUCGGCACCGGUUCCGUACAGGCUGAACCGACCGGUUCCGGUCGGUUCAGCAGACCUUGCCCUGGAUGGAUAUUUUUUAUUGCUUCUUUAUUACCAUCCCUCACUUUUUACUGCAGCAUUCUCUCUCCUCUCGACCUCUUUAGGUUCCAUCAGAGCAUCCCUUUCUGGUUAUGAGCUGCUCUUACUAGUGGCUGGAGACACCCACGCCCUAGUUCUCAGGCCUUGUCACCAGCCUAGCAGCGAGCCACCUUUUUGUUUUUUCUGAGCCCAAUUUUGUUGAAGGCAAAGGUCUGGUGGAGUAGUGGCAUCCAGCACCAUUGACAUACUCUCUGGGCUUGCUGCUGGCUUCUCCCACCUUCCUGGCCUCCGAUUUAGGAUUCAAUCUAGCCCUGACUAGCUGUGAAUUUCCUCUAUAGCCCAGUCUUGUCGGUGGAAGGUCUGGGAAGAAGCUUUCUCCUCAUUCUGACGGCAUGAGAGGGUUCAUAUGAGGUUUGCCUUCAUCACCCUCUUUGCCUCCCCACUUUUUUCUCUAUUAUUAUCCAUGUCAGUGUCAUCCUUGGCUGUUUUAUUUGGUAGAGCUCCGAUUGCAGCACCCCCCCCCCCCCACCCCUAGCUACCAUAACAUAGCUAUUGGUGCAAGCUACUGCUUCUAGAUCCUCUCUAUUAUUUUCUGCAGAUUGAGAAACAUGGGUAUCGGGUUGCAAAAGAACAACAUUGAUAGGGUUAUGGGAUUGAUAUCCAUGAACACUCUCAAAUAAGCUCUUACCUGUAGACCUUUGAACAGAAUUAUUAUAAAUGAAUUCAGCAGCAGGUAGCAUCAAGUCCCAAUUAUCCAGUUUGUCUCCAACAUAUCUAAGCAAAUCACCCCAACUAUGAUUAAGUGUUUUCGUUUGAUAAUCAGUUUGGGGGUGGUCUGCAGAGGAAAAUAUCAAUUUAGCACCCCACAAUUUUUAAAGUAUCUUCCAAAAGUAACUAACAAACCUGACAAUCCCUAUCAGCCACUAUGGAACUAGGUAACACAUGCAGCUUGACCACAUCCCUAAAGAACAAUUUGGCUGCAUGUGAGGCAUCAUAUGUCCUACCACAUGGAAUGAAAUAUGCCGUUUUGGGUAACGUAUCAACCAUAACAAAGAUGGAAUCAUAACCUCGGGCUGUUCUAGAUUAUCCUAGGACAAAGUUGAUGUUCAAUAGCACUAGUAGAGGGGUAUAAAGUCUGAUGUUUUAUUUCUUGGCUUUAGCUAGCUGAUAAGUGCGACAUUAGGAAACUAUCCCAGCUUCGUCCCUCUUCAAUGAAGGCCAAUAAAACCUAUCCUCAACUAAGGCAAUGGUCUUAUCUCUUUAUAAAUGAUCAUAUGGACCUUCAGCAUGCAUAUCCCAAACUAGAACUCCCUAAGUGAAGUACGUGAGAUGCAUAACCUGUUAGCUCCAAACAGGUAACCCUAAUGGAUAACGAAGUCAACUUACUAGCUAAGGGGACCACUCUUAACCUCCUAUUAAAUCAAACCAAGAUCAGGGCAGAUAGCAUAUCAUCCUUCAACCUAUCAAAUCCUAUAACCUCAGCACUAUCCUACUAAGAGCAUAAGCUACUUUAUUCUCAACACCUGAAUGAUGUUUGAGAACAAAGGAGUAGUGAUUCAAAUACUCUACACACUUAGCAUGCUUAGAGCUUAAUUUCUUUUAUGAGUUUAGGUACCACUAUGCUAAGUGGUUAGAAUAGAGUACAAAUUCUGUGGGUAACGAAUAAUAUCUCCAAUGAUUGAGGGACUAGACCACAAUAUUAAACUCUUUGUCAUAUGUGAAAUACUUCUGCUUUGCCUCAAAAAGUCUUACUAAAGAAAGCUAUGGGAUAUCCCUUCUAGCACAAAAUUGCACAUAUACCUAUCCUAGAAGUACCACAAGCGACCUCAAAAACCUUUCCAAAUCAGGAUGCCUCAUAAUAGGCGCCUUAGUCAUCUUUUGCUUAAUUUCCACAAAAGCUCAACUAGCCGUAGGGGUCCAACGAAACUGUCCUUUCGUAAGACAAUCAAUGAUAGGAGCCACAAUAGUGUUAAAACCCCUAACAAAGCACCUACAGAAAGAAGCAAAACCAUGGAAACUACGAUCCUCAAAAAUAGAUGAGGUUCAAGCCACUCUCUAAUAACUCUAACCUUAUCAGGAUCGGCCGCUAUAACCUAAAUGUUUGUUAGCUAGCAUAGUUUUGAACUAGGACCUUUGGAUUAAACUGCAAUAAAUAAAUGAAUACAUUGAAUAAUACAAAUAUAAGAUUGGUUUGAGCCAGAAAUGUGCUAGUAUCCUAUUUUCAUGAGUAUAUGCAGAGAAUAGUCCAAUUCUUAUAUUUGUGGCCCAUAAUAAAUGCUAAUAUAGUAGUCUCCAAGGUGUAGCACAAUUAUAUACCCUACCUAAGAAGGCCAUGAACUCAUUCAAUUAUAUACCCUAAUCAAAAUAGAGUAACAAUCUCUCUUCCCCCGCCCCCCAAACCCCCUAUUCCUCCAUUCCCCUCAAUUUCUUGGUUUUUGCAGUACAUCUCUUCACUCUCUUGUAAGGUCCAAUGUGCCCAGUUUGUUGGUCAACCCAUGUUUCUUGAGGUCCCUCCAAUAGAUUCAGCAUUAGGGGCGAGUCUUCAGAUUUGAGGCCCAUGAGAACAUACGAUUCUAACCUAAAGAAGGAGGCCUCUUAUGGCCGAGAGCCUUGGCAACCAUGGAUCCCACUAAUGGAGGGAGGGGCUGGGUUUGGGAGCUUGGUUGAUCGAUUCUCUAUCUCAAUGGCGGCAACCACUCAACCACCAAGGGCUAUGGAGUGGUUCAUGGUGGAGAGAGCCAUCUUUGGGCACUCGUUUGCCUUGCAGGCCAUUGGCUUUAAGAUUGGAUUGGCCUGCUCGAGCUUGGUUUGAUUUGGGCCCAUCUACGCUUCGGUCAUGCUCGGCUUCAGGCUUGGGUCGGGGUUAGGCCUAACUUAGAAAAAAGUUCCUGGGCCUAGGCUCGAUUGAAGCCUGAUUUUUUUUUUGGGCUGGGCCUAGGAUACAUGGAAACCCAAGCUUGCCUAGCUUAGUUCCUAGUCUACUGGUAGCACUAUAUAAGUAAAAGGACACUCAAUCAAGCAAACAAAGAAAGAGCAAACAACCUACCUAGCAGUAAUGCAGCAAGAAAAGGCAUUUGAUAGACUAAGGAAAAUAGAGGAAAAAGCCAAGAAAAAGGAGAGGGGGAAUGGAGAGUAGGGACUCUAUCAUCGGCAUGGAAAACAUAAGGACUAGGAGGACAAGUGGAUGCAAAGUAAGAGGAAGAAGGAUGAGGAAAAAGGAAUGAAGAAAAAUAAAAGACGAAAAAUAGAAAAAAACCGACCUGACAAAAUUGAUGGCUAUUGCCAUUGCCUCUAUUGCUCACUAUUGCUCUUGGAAUCGCUAGUGGUUACUAAUCUCUCUCCUAUAGCGGCUCGGGUCAAUCAUUGCCUCAAUUCUUGGCAUUGGUUGUUGUCAUGGUACGCCAUACAAUACCGAGCCGGACGGUACGGGGUAUACCGUGUACCGUACCAGUUUGGUACUGAUGCUCGGUAUGGAGGGCAUACCAACCCUUGGUACAUUGAAUUGGUUCCUGUACCGGGCAUACUAACAGAGUGACAAGGUGGCACUGGUACGGGCUCCGGUAUCGAGAUGGCGUACCUUGGUUGUUCGAAUAGAGAAGCAAAAAGGUGAAAGAAGUCUAAGGUUUUAAGUUUUCAUGGCCUAGGUAACCAAGCCAAAAUAUGCACCUAGGCACCUAUGCAAGCUCCUUGAACAACAUUAUUCCAAACCUUGCUCAGAACUAAAUUGUAAUGACUUAAAAUAUUCCCUGGCCCUUCUUAUAUCCAGAAUAAAACUUUGGAACUAAUCCUGCUAGAAAUAGGACUCGAUAACAACGUAGAUAUGGUUAGAGGAAUCUACUCUAGAAUCAUAAUAGAAACUAAAGAGUACCUGGCUUACUCUGAUACGACUUAAAUUACACAAGAAGAUACCCUAAGUUAGAAGAGCACCUCAAA
RNAcentral lists this long non-coding RNA (26363 nucleotides) under Phoenix dactylifera (date palm). RNAcentral describes it as "long non-coding RNA (PDAC_LNC007290)". Lineage: Eukaryota; Viridiplantae; Streptophyta; Magnoliopsida; Arecales; Arecaceae. The record is from RNAcentral.